GACGAACGCUGGCGGCGUGCUUAACACAUGCAAGUCGAACGGAGAGUCCCUGCUUUGGUGGGGUGCUCGAGUGGCGAACGGGUGAGUAACACGUAAGUAACCUGCCCUUGACUUUGGACUACCUUCAGGAAACUGGGGCACAUACCGAAUCGGUGCCCCUGCUGCAUGGUGGGGGUUGGAAAGUUUCGCCGGAUGGGGAUGGACUCGCGGCUUAUCAGCUUGUUGGUGGGGUAGUGGCUUACCAAGGCGUUGACGGGUAGCCGGCCUGAGAGGGUGACCGGCCACAUUGAGACUGAGAUACGGCCCAGACUCAUACGGGAGGCAGCAGUGGGGAAUAUGGCACAAUGGGCGGAAGCCUGAUGCAGCAACGGCGCGGGCGGGAGGACGGAGUUCGGUUUGUAAACCGCUUGCGCCUGUGACGAAGCGUGAGUGACGGUAAUGGGUAAAGAAGCACCGGCUAACUACGUG
Molecule: ribosomal RNA, 468 nt
Filed under: uncultured bacterium
Lineage: Bacteria
Description: partial 16S ribosomal RNA
Rfam family: Bacterial small subunit ribosomal RNA
Source: RNAcentral